GACGAACGCUGGCGGCGUGCUUAACACAUGCAAGUCGAACGAUGAAGCGCCAGCUUGCUGGUGUGGAUUAGUGGCGAACGGGUGAGUAACACGUGAGUAACCUGCCCCCUACUCUGGGAUAAGCCUGGGAAACUGGGUCUAAUACUGGAUAUGACCAAUCACUGCAUGGUGUAUUGGUGGAAAGAUUUUUUGGUGGGGGAUGGACUCGCGGCCUAUCAGCUUGUUGGUGGGGUAAUGGCCUACCAAGGCGACGACGGGUAGCCGGCCUGAGAGGGCGACCGGCCACACUGGGACUGAGACACGGCCCAGACUCCUACGGGAGGCAGCAGUGGGGAAUAUUGCACAAUGGGCGAAAGCCUGAUGCAGCGACGCCGCGUGAGGGAUGACGGCCUUCGGGUUGUAAACCUCUUUCACCAGGGACGAAGCUAACGUGACGGUACCUGGAGAAGAAGCACCGGCUAACUACGUG
RNAcentral lists this ribosomal RNA (469 nucleotides) under uncultured bacterium. RNAcentral's name for it is "partial 16S ribosomal RNA". It matches the Rfam family "Bacterial small subunit ribosomal RNA", at positions 28 to 507 of the family's 1533-position model. The record is from RNAcentral.